This is a long non-coding RNA of Felis catus (domestic cat), 2639 nucleotides long. RefSeq lists it as uncharacterized. The record is from RefSeq and is a predicted model, not a curated record. Lineage: Eukaryota; Metazoa; Chordata; Mammalia; Carnivora; Felidae. The transcript is spliced from 3 exons.
GUGGCUGUGUAAUAUUCCGUUACACAUAAAUUAUAUAUAUGUGUAUAUACUUUAUACAGUAUAAUACCACAGCAUCUUUAUUCAUCUACCGAUGGAUGCUUAGGUUGCUCCCAUAUCUUGGUUAUUGUAAAUAAUGCUACAAUAAACAUAAGGACGCAUGUAUUCUUCCAAAUUAGUGUUUUCAUUUUUCAAUCACAAUUCUUUUGAAAUCUCUUUGGCUGAAGGAGGUCGGGGAUCAGAAGGAAAAAAUGAUUAUAAUUAAGGUGAAUGAAUGAAUAAUCAUUCAACAUACAUAAAUUCAACAGGAAAUUAUCGAAGCCCUACUCUGGGCCGGAGACUGUGUCAUGCCAGAGGAUACGGAGAAGGAAGACAACUAAUUCCUAUCCUCAGAGAGCUUAGAAUCUCAUAUAACUUCCAAGUGUGGAUAGAGUAAAUUUAUUUCACAUAAAUAACUUCAGACCAGAUGCUUGCAGGACUUGAGGUGCCUCUAUACAGAGGCAGGAAUUGUUUUCCCACUCCAGACCUGGCAUGCCCUUCAACUCUGAUCACAAUUGUUUGUCUACCACCCAUGGAUCCUGUGGGGUCAGCUAAAUUUGUGGGCAAAAGAGACAAAAGGACAGGAGGAAGACACAGUGAGAAGAUUAUUGCAGAGCCAGCUUUAAAAUAGAACCAACUCUAAAAAGGAGAAAAAGGAAGAACAGACUAAGAGGCCAUUUCAAAAUUCUAAUCAAUGGAUUGGUGCCAUCUUGGUAAUAUUUUAUAACCUGUGGCAAAAUGACUGUAGUAAUUUACCAUAUGCCAGUUUAAGGUUGGCGAAGGCCCUUUGUGAGGCAGACUUAUUUAUUUUAGGAAUAUCUUCUCCCAAAUUUAAAAUGUCCCCUCUUUUAUGGCAGAAUGUACUCAACGGACAGUUCUGAGAAUCCUUCAGAAUACAUUUCUUAGUCCGCAAAAUCUGGAGGUCAGGAAUCACGGAGAAAUUAGAGCAUAGUUCCCACGACAUGAGAUACUUCAGCUCUUCAGUAGACAAAGGCAUUUCUCAGAGUGAAGUUUCUCAGGGAACAACCCUGCCUUUUGAAUGUAGAAAAUGAAGAAGAAUGAUGGAUAGGAUUCUAGAACCAAAGCUUGCCUCACAGUCUGCAGGUGGAAUACAUCUGGCCCCUCAGAGGUUUGAAUUUCAGAAGAAGCUGGCUUGGAGGCACAGACCAGCAUUUACAGGGCUGGAUAGAAGUGAGGGACACAGGAAUAGAUGAGUUAAGAUCCAUCAUACUGGAAUGAAUGUCAGUCUUCCUCAGCUACAUCAUUGACCAACUAGCUACAUCAAGACUAGGAAAUCCCUCCAACAGCUGAGAUGCCAGAUGGGAUGGCAGUUAAUUUUCCAAAAAGGAGUUAAUAUCCUUUUUAUCUCUUCUUCAUGUAAAGCAAGGAAGACUCCUGAAAUCAGAAACCUCUCCUGAUGUAAAACUAGAAGCCACUCCCAAAAGCACAAGCCUCUAAAACAGUGAGCAGUCACCUCAGCACUUCCUCUUGGAGCCUGCAGAAGUGACCUGUGCUUUUCUCUGGGCAUGAACGAAGGCCUCAAAGAAACUGCUGAUCUGCCUGAGGGAGUAGAUUCACUGUGCUUCUCUUAUUAUACUGGGGAGGGCUCAUCUUGCCCUCUUCUUUCUCUGUAUGUUCAACUCAACUGCAGGCUAAAAGCACAGAAUUAAUUUUCUCCACAGGAAUAAACUAUUGUUUUGUUAACGUUAUUUAUCAGUGCCAUGGACUGAAAUGUGUCCUCAAAUUCAGAUGUGGAAGCCCUAACCCCCCCCCCCACAUGACUGUAUUUGGCCUAUACAGGGCCAAACAGGACAUAUAAGGAAGUAAUUUCAAUUAAAUGAGGUCAUAAAGGCAAGACCCUGAUCGGAUAGGAUUAGAGUCAUUAUAGGAAGAGGCAACAGAAAGCCUACCCUCUCUUUCUCUCUUCCUGCCCUGCCCCCUGAAGGACACAGCAAGAGGGUGGCCAUCUCCAAGCCAGGAAGAGAGCUCUCACCCGAAACUGAACCAGCUGGCAUCUUGAUCUUGGAUUUCUAGCCCCCAGAAGAGAAUGUUUACCCAGAGGAAGUGAUUUAAGUCUCUUUGGGCACCACAUUGUCAUUAGAAGGAGAAAGCACAGGGGUGCCGAAUGGCUCCUGGUCUGAAAGCCUGGGCACCAAGUUCAAGGCUGGGAAGAAGCACAGAAAGAAGUAAAUGACAGAAGCUGACCCCAAAUAAUCCCAUUACAGAGAAAUGGGAUUUUCAAGAGUGUCUGCUCUUAGAAUUAAGAAUGCUGACACUGGUUCAGUUCCAAACCUAACUGGGAAAACAUGAAAAUGGUUACCAUCUGUAGCUGUCUGGUGUCAGGAGGUGAGGUGGGGAGGCGGUCUGUGGCCAGGGCGCCUACGCCUGUGACUCCAACACGGGCGUUGCUUUCUCCCUACCCCUGCCUUCCUCUGUACACCGGAGAAGGAAUUACACCUCUCGGUGACCUUUAGGUGACCUAAUGACUCAAACAGGGUGGCCACUGUUACAGUGACAUUUCCAAAUAAUGGAGUGUUCCAUAGAAGCCAGACCGUAUCCUUGUAAAUCUGUCUUUAUCGAAUAGUAAAGAAAUGAAAAGCAAA